Molecule: transfer RNA, 74 nt
Filed under: Bacteroidales bacterium
Lineage: Bacteria; Pseudomonadati; Bacteroidota; Bacteroidia; Bacteroidales
Also listed under: 1 other name
Description: tRNA-Met
Rfam family: tRNA
About the family: Transfer RNA (tRNA) molecules are approximately 80 nucleotides in length. Their secondary structure includes four short double-helical elements and three loops (D, anti-codon, and T loops).
Source: RNAcentral
GGCGAGGUAGCUCAGCUGGUUAGAGCGCAUGAUUCAUAAUCAUGAGGUCGUGAGUUCAAGUCUCACUCUCGCUA